UCCGCCGUGCGUGGCGCUUGGCGUUGGUCUACCCAGGGCUGCAAGUGCGAUUCGGGAUCCGCCCCGCCGGGAACCGGUGGAGGUACCGCGGCCCACGAACAGAGGGGUUGAACUCGGGUCCUUGCGCUGAGCUAAAUCCCCGGCGAAGGAUUUAAACCACAGCAGUGACCUCUGAGUUUCCAGAAUGCACGUGUCCAGAAGAGAUGAACAGCUGACUGUGGACCAAAACCUCUACAAACUGAAAGCGAGCUGCUGCCUUUUCAAUUGCAGUUACAUCAAAUUUAUACAUCACUGAAGGUUCUACUGUCUUCAGGAAGCUGGGUCCGGACACAGGGAGGAACCAGCCCUUCGCUUCCUGAGACCUCCGUUCUCUGAGGUCCUUGAUGAAAGCAUUCAGUGAAGACCCUCAGGCCAUGCAGAGGCCAGGCCUGAGGCAGAAGGUCUUCGCAGAACAUCUCUCUCCCUGCCGUCCCUGGGCCGUAGAUGAUGGAAGUUGGGAACCUGGCAGAAGGGCCUCAUUCUGGAACUAGGGGCCUCAAAAGGACUGUGCACAGCGUGUCACCUGAAGACGUCCCUGUGUUCUGUGAGACCGCCGAGUCUGAGGUAUUUCAAAGGUUUCACAUAUGAGAGAAAACACUCAGUAGCUGUGUUUCUGAGUCUGGCUUACUUCGCUCAACAGAACAAUCUCCGCUACCAUUUCCUACGCGUGACGGGACUUCUUUGUGGCACAGUUUACUCCGUGUGUAUGCGCCCUGCAUGGCCUUUCUCCAUUCAUCUGGGAGGCCAUUGGGGUGAUUUUCUAGUCUGGAAACCGUGAACAGUGCCAUACUAAACACAGGAGUGCAGAUGAUACACUGAUGUAUUGCAGGGAUGCUUUGAGCUUUGGGAGGGCUGCUUCACCUCUAAAGUCCACUAAAAGCAUUUCUGGACAUGCCAGUGUGAGACACAGGCAGGUGUGCAAGGAAGAGCUUGAAAGGAAGAGAAAACACAGAAGGGACUUCAGCUUGAGCAGCUGAAGGGGGUACAGCCCUGACGGAGAGGGUCAGACUGGCCCCUCAACAAAAGGAAGGGACGGAGCCCGGGUGGGCUCGGGUCUGGCUGCUCACGAUCUCAUUUCCGGUUCCGGGCCCCAGAUCCUGACCUCGCUGCUGGUGUUCAGCCCCAGGCCUCAUACACUAGCCCUGAGGGCAAGCUCUUCAAAAGUCUGCCCCGCCCUCGCUGUCACCCCGAACAGCUCUGGGAACCAAAGCCCCGCAGCCCCCUCCUCUGCCCCUGAGCUCGCCGGGGUCUCUCAGCCAAGCUUCACCUGGGGAAUCUGAGUGCAGUGCCGCGCAGGCUGCUGGAAGACGCGCAGUAAACCAGGAGCCUGUGAUGAGCUCACAAGAGGGAGCACGCAUUGAGCACCUACUGCACGCUGGGCCUUGGACUGGUCGCUGAGAUCCACAGUGAGCUCCUCCUGCCCCCUGGUGCUGGAAGCCCAGUGUUUCUGGAAGGUCAAGAAGUGAGGCGCUGGCUGAAGGGACGCAGGAUUCCAUCAGGGAGGUUGGCUCACCUGUGGUACCAGCGAGCGGCUUGUCUUCCCCAAGUGAGACACCAGGAGUUCGCAGUCUGCAGGGGCCCCGGGGCCUGAGCAUCGAGUGCUCCGAGAGGGCAGGAGGCACAGCUGUGAUGCCGCCUGUAUCCGCCCGUCUUCAUCUCGAAGUCACACGACGUCUCAUUUCUGCAGUAACCUCUCGAUUAUCAGGCCCGCCCUCCUGAGUGGAGGAGAGAACCGAACAGGUCACGAACACUGGCGGCUGAGAGGCACUGUUUGUUUUAUUUAAGCUGGCGUCCACAUCUGCCAUCCUCAACACAGGAUGUAUCCUCACGUUCUGAGACAGCUGCAGUAACACCAGCUCUCACAUCACACUUAAUGCAUUCUAGCUAGUGGGAAGGAAGAAAGGAAGCGGGGUGUGCUGUUGUCCCAGAAAGAUACUUUACAGAAGUUAGCUGGACCAUUCUACUUUUACCUCACUGGUCAGAACUUAGUUUAGGAUUUAUUCUGAGUGACUGCGUGUGUACCCAGCAGAUAUUGGGGACAACUGGCAGCCUGUGCCGUCUCAGCAGUGGUCCCAAGUAUACUACAGAGGAUGGGGAGAGGGGACACAGAGAACCGUCGCUACCUUGGGUCACUGCCCUAGUAAGGACUCAAGACCCAUUUUGUCUGAGAAGUGUGUGUGUGUGUGUGUGUGUGUGUGUGUGUGUGUGUGUGUGUAAAACAGGAGUGUACAUUAGUGCCUUACCCUGUAAUUACUGAAUCUCGGUGUAAAGAGAAAACGGUUCCUACAGGAGACAAACAAGCGCACAAAACAGACCCAGUCCCAGAGCCCAGUCAGGGACGGCCCAGAAACCAGGCCAAUCCAGGACCGGGCAAGACCCUCACUGGAGGCAACCAGCCCCACUCUGUACACAGAACUGCAGGCUUCCUGCAGAACUCCCAGGCUGCCUGAUUUAUGGGUCCCAAUACGGAAGCACAGAUGGGCAAUUCUACCAGCUGUGUUUUUAAAAGCGCAUAUGAUUCCUGAUCAAUGAACCAGAGAGACCAAAUGCAGAAGUGUUCAGUGCCAAGCAGCAAUCUGCCCGGCGACCUCUCAGCGACCAGAGUCGGGGCUGGAGCAGCCAGCUGGGCCCUGACUCAAGCUGGGGUUGGCCUCAAACUUGUGGUCCUCCUGCCUCAGCCUCCUAGGCUGCAGGGAAUACAGGUGAGUGUCCCCUCCCCGGCCUGUGCUGUGUCUGCAUUGCACCAGUGUUAAGUGAGCACCCACUCAGCGGCAAAGACACUGCACCCCAGGUCACAGGGCAGAGGAAGGCUUGUAGGACAUCACUUCAGAUGGGUACACAGUGACCCCGCUGAGUACAUCGUGUGGUGACAGGGGAUGUCCAAGGUCCAGAAGUAAUGGGAGGCGCUGCAGAGAAGGUGACACUGGGCAGGAGCUGGAGUCCUCUGCCAUCAGCGGGGCCAGGGGGCAGGGCUUCCCGGGUCUGAGCUGGCAGCUUCCUGGGGUCAGUAAGGGCAUUUCUGGGCUGAGAGUGUUCACCAUGCUCUGAAAUCUCCGGGCUCCCUCAGCGUGCACCGCAGCCCUGACCUCCUUGCACUGAGCGACUGGGCGGAGUAGGGGAGAGGAGAUGCACCCUGCCUGCAGCUCUCAUGGGCUUUGGUACUGGACCGUUAUGGCAGAGGCUGUGUAUGGUGGGAAAGGGUGAGGGUUUUAUGGCCUUUGAGAACCCACACAAGCUCCCUUCCGUCUCCUUAUAGGUUCCCAAGUGACUCUAGGUUGACCCUCAGACCUAACUGUCCCCAGCCACCUCUGGUGGGCAGGAGGCAGGGCUGGGAAUGCAGCGGGCUACUCGGGCUUUCCACUCGGCGGUCAGACCCUGUCCUCUGAAGUCUUGGGCCUCUUCAGAAUCAGUGGGGCCCCCACAGCACCCAUCUUGUCUUACACACUUUCCAGUACCCACAGUUUAAAAGAGAGGCCGGGCUCAUGGUUUCAGUCUCUGGUCAGCUAUCCCCAAGGCAGAACUGAAUGAGGCGGAGGUGGAGGAGCCGGGGAUGAGGACACACCCUUCCAAGUCACACUCCCACCCCUUCCGAUCCGGCCGCACCUUCAAAGGGAGGCUGCAGUUUAGAUCUAAACAAUCACAUGCCUCCUGCAGCUUGUCCUACAUUAUGAAAACAAGAGAUCCAGCUCAUGCUGGCACAUUCUAGUCUCUUCUUGGGGUGUGCAAGUUUGGUUUUCCUGCAGGAUGCAGGAAAAUGUGAGAUGUAAAUAAAUCACCAGGUGAACCAGAACUGAAGAGCUACCCAAGAAUCAAACAGUUGUUCGCUGAAGGCAGACGGAACCCUGGGCUUCAUGAGGUCCAGCAGAUACCACCUCCUCACUGGGUCAAGGUAGGCAGGUGAUGGAGAAAGACCCACACUGAGUCGCCAGCCAGUCUUCAACGACAGGUGGACCAGGAACCUCAGACCCAGAGCUGCCAGGGCACAGGGAGGUCAGGAGGAUGGUCCUGCCCUGGCCAAAGCAGCGCGUGCGUCCAGGAAGUCCCUCCUCCUGCUUGCUGCUCUUCUGAGAUGGGCAAACAGCCUCCUGGUGGCCUUGGGUUCUCUCUCCUCUCUGCCAGCUCCAAUCCCAAGGCCUGGCUCAGGUUAUAUCCUUCCGGCUCAGAAAACCUUUAAUUACAAACAGCUUGGCCUGGACCUUAUCCAACCUGCCUCUCCCCACUCCCUCACAUGUGCGCCUCGCUCCUUUUUUUCAGUACUAGGGCUUUGUGCCUGCUAAGCAGGUGCUUAUCACUGAGCUACACACCCCAGCCUUUUUUCCUGCUAAGUUUCCUGGGCUGGGCUCAAGCUUGAGAUCCUCCUGCCUCAACUUCCCGAGUUGCUGGGAUUACGAGUAUGCCAUGCACCACCACUCUCAGCUGCCCGUACUUCUUAUACUCGACCCACGAAAAUGCCCAUCUUUAUUCAGGGCCCUGGACCUCACCUCUAUCUGGCCGGCAAUGCCCUCUUGUCGCUGCCAUCAGCCCCAGGCCCACCUUCAGGGCUUCUCGCCUAACAGAUCUUCUCUGUCACCCUCUGCCCUCUGCACCCAUGGCCUAAGGGAUGGGGCUUUUUAUUAGAUGUGCAUCUUUAAUUAUAGGAGUGUUACAUGCUUGUAAAAACAUUCCCACAUUACAGACGCACACACAGUAAAACGAGCGUGUGUCAUCCCCACUCUGCUCUCCCUGAAACUCACCCCGGUUUGCAGUGAGCCAGUGUGUGGACACCCAUUUUACCCAGCGCUCUUGGGACCUCCCCUAAGUAGUGAACAGCUGACUGCCAACUUGCAGUGGCAGAGCGGGGCGAGCACGACCAGAGAUGGUGCAAGUUUUUGGAGAGGGGUGACUUGCCCUGAGUUGGAAAAAAAAAAUCCCCAAGGUCAGUCUGCGGGACCCCUUGAUUUCUUUUACAAGGCAGUUCAAAGCACAAAGCCCCAGGGAGGCAUUCCUAGGUCUCCUGGGAAUAUUCAUCCUGUUCUCUGAAGCCAGACUCAAGCCCAUGCUGAGCAGAGCGGUGGAGGUGCCUGGCAGCCUUAACUUCGUGGUCACUCGGUGAGAUGCAGAGGCAGUGGGGGCGCUAGGGCUUUCCUUCUCCAGCGUGGGGCCCAGCCCAGCCACCACAGGCCCCUCACCGCCAGGCCGGAGACCCCUGUGUACCUUCCUGGCAAGGUAGUGACUGUCCUUACAGUAUGGCCCACGAUAAGAGCAACCCCGGGGAUAAACGGGCCGGCUGCUCCUUAGAAUUGGACCUGGUAAAGAACCAAGGCCAUACUGAGUGCUGCCACGUUUCUAGGGGCCUGAACAACAGAGUGAAAACAUGAUCUCUCCAUUCCCCAAGGGGCCACAGCUCUCCUCCAUCCCUAGCUCAAAUAAGUGUUUAGGGAGCAGGGACUGGAGGACCCCUGUGUGGGGAGGGCAGGGCAAGCUAUCCCAAGGCAGCAGCAUUGAAAAGGAUAAACCGGAAGCCGGCAGGUAAAGGUAAGAGCAGCGACGGGCAGAGGUCCAGAGGUCCGCAGGAUGUGGGAGGAAAUGAAAACUCGUUGUGGCUGAGCCUCGUGUGUGAGGGGAAGCCCGGGAGAGGACGGCAGGGCCAGCGACUUUCCCUGCCAGGCUUAAAAGCCAGGAGGUGUUUGUCGCAGUGGUGAAGGAGGAGUUUUAAGCAGAAGAGUGACAUUUUAGACGGGUGACUGUGGCUGCCACACAGACCGCGAGUUGGAGGAAGUGAAGGCCCUCGGGACAGUGAUGACCGGAGCAGACACCAGUGUUCAGAGAAUGCAAAGCGGAGCGAGGGAGGCAGGAGGACGGGGACCCUGGCUGGGCUGCUGGGGGUGCAGGUGUCAGGUCCACGCGGCAUUACCUGGUUGGACUGUGUGGGGAGCUGGGGGCCCCGGCACGUUUCCACAGGUGAAGGACUGAAGGCUAUCAGACUGCUGACAGUGAACGCCAGUCGGCUUCCCUGGGACACAGCCUCUGGGGUGCUACUGGACCCCACUGUCCCGGAGCAGAUGCCGCAGUGCACAGCCUGUACCUCCAGCUGACCUCCGCUCGCCUGACUACAAGUCCGGCCCCCGCUCCCGCCAGCUUUCUGUGUACAGAAGUAGUUCACCAUCAGCCCGUCUCCCACCCCUCAGUCGAGAGUCUAGCCAAAGCGGUUUCCCUGCUUGACAGUGAAACUCCUCUCGAACACAGGCUAGAGGCUCCUGCCCGCCACAAGGGCCUGAAGGGACUCCACAGACUCCGAUGUUCUCUGCACACCCGGCAUCUGUGGGUGCAGUGGGGGUGGGUACGGGCUGAGGUGCCGUCUGAGGCUUGGAGCUUGGAGGUGCUGGGCUGCGGAGGGUGGAGAGUACAUACAAGAAUCCGAAGCCCCAGCUCCUGUCUCCAGUUCCCUAGGUGACCUUUGACGCGGCUGGUCCUCCUCGCCCUCCAAGGUCUCUGCACACACUAAUUCCCUCUGCCUGGAACACUCUGCCCCUUUCUCUCUGCCUGUGUGGCUCUUGCUCUUCCUUCACCUCUGUGCUUGAUCAGGGAACACCCCGAGUUGAGGACUCCCUCAGACAGAGUUCUGUUACGUCCUCCCCUCCGUUACGGUGUUUGGUGUGCUGUAUUUGUUUGCUACCAUUUGCCUCCCCGACAGACUGUGACUUCCAGGAGCAGGGGGUUCUGCCUGUCUCACUCCCUGCUCCCACCCUCGGCUCUGCAUGUGGUAAAACAAAAGGCCCAACUGGAUACGAUCCUUCCCAGAAACAGCAUUGUUUUCUAGGAUUCUAUUGCUUCAUCUGAAGUAAGAGGAUGUCACUGUUUUCUGCCUUAAUUGUGUAUCUGAUGGCUCUGUUCAUCCCCAUAAAGCUUGGGGUGCUUUGAAUAAAUGCUCCCAUUAGCACAUGACCCUUGUUUUCUACCCCCAGUCACCCAGGAACCUUAGGAUGGAAACUCAGGCUGUGCCAGGAGCCCCAGGCCCUGGUGUCGGUGCUGGAGUUGGACGACCCCUUCCAGGGCAGGAUGAGUCUCCAGAAGGCUCUGCCGUGCCCUACAGGGCAGAGGAUAAAGGUCCUUCCAGCUCCCCUGGACCAGGCAGGAGUGAGGGUCACAGCUCAGAACCAGGAAUUGUAUCCCAAGGGCCCCAAGAGCCCCAGCCUCAGUCCAGCUGUCUGUCAUCAGUGUCAAAAUGAGGGGAGGAGCUUUUUCUGAAGCGGAGCCGAGGUCUGGCUUAGGCCCCAGGGCGUCACUGCAGGCCUGGCAGGAGGGUUACCUGGUUGCCCUUG
This is a long non-coding RNA of Fukomys damarensis (Damara mole-rat), 7340 nucleotides long. RefSeq lists it as uncharacterized. The record is from RefSeq and is a predicted model, not a curated record. NCBI's taxonomy places the organism in Eukaryota, Metazoa, Chordata, Mammalia, Rodentia, Bathyergidae. The transcript has 14 exons.